This 493-nucleotide ribosomal RNA is filed under the name uncultured bacterium. Its description in RNAcentral is "partial 16S ribosomal RNA". It matches the Rfam family "Bacterial small subunit ribosomal RNA", at positions 30 to 507 of the family's 1533-position model. The record is from RNAcentral.
AUUGAACGCUGGCGGCAUGCUUUACACAUGCAAGUCGAACGGCAACGAGGAGAAGCUUGCUUCUCUGUCGGCGAGUGGCGAACGGGUGAGUAUAGCAUCGGAACGUGCCAAGUAGUGGGGGAUAACCAAACGAAAGUUUGGCUAAUACCGCGUAAGCUCCAAGGAGGAAAGUAGGGGACCUAAAUAAGGCCUUACGCUAUUUGAUCGGCCGAUGUCGGAUUAGCUAGUUGGUGGGGUAAUGGCUCACCAAGGCAAUGAUCCGUAGCGGGUCUGAGAGGACGAUUCGCCACACUGGGACUGAGACACGGCCCAGACUCCUACGGGAGGCAGCAGUGGGGAAUUUUGGACAAUGGGGGAAACCCUGAUCCAGCCAUGCCGCGUGUAUGAAGAAGGCCUUAGGGUUGUAAAGUACUUUUGUUAGGGAAGAAAAGCUAGUUUUUAAUAAAAAUUAGUGAUGACGGUACCUAAAGAAUAAGCACCGGCUAACUACGUG